This 304-nucleotide ribosomal RNA is filed under the name Argiope amoena. RNAcentral describes it as "partial 12S ribosomal RNA". Lineage: Eukaryota; Metazoa; Arthropoda; Arachnida; Araneae; Araneidae. The record is from RNAcentral.
GGUGGCCAUUUUAUUUUAUUAGAGGAACCUGCCUUUUAAUCGAUGCACCACGAUACUUUUCACUUCUGUUUAUAUCUUAUAUACCGCCAUCUUAAGGGUUAAUAUAUACAUUUUUCCCAAGAUAGAUUUUCUAAUAAGUUAGGUAAAGGUGUAGACCAUACAGAAGAUAGGGUGUGUUACCAAUAAAUAUUAUUUAAGGAUUAAAAAUUAAAACUUUUAUUGAAAGAGGAUUUAUAAGUAAGCUAAAGAAUAUUAAUCUUUACUGAACCUGAUAAAAAAUGUGCACACAUCGCCCGUCGCUCUU